Molecule: ribosomal RNA, 1390 nt
Filed under: uncultured marine bacterium
Lineage: Bacteria
Description: bacterial SSU rRNA
Rfam family: Bacterial small subunit ribosomal RNA
Source: RNAcentral
GAGUUUGAUCCUGGCUCAGGAUGAACGCUAGCGGCAGGCCUAACACAUGCAAGUCGAGGGGUAACAUAGAAAAGCUUGCUUUUCUGAUGACGACCGGCGCACGGGUGCGUAACGCGUAUACAAUCUGUCCUAUACUGGGGUAUAGCCUUUAGAAAUGAAGAUUANUCCCCCAUAGCCUCUUUUAAUGGCAUCAUUAUUAGAGUAAAGGUUACGGUAUAAGGUGAGUAUGCGUUCUAUUAGUUUGUUGGUGAGGUAACGGCUCACCAAGACUGCGAUAGAUAGGGGCCCUGAGAGGGGGAUCCCCCACACUGGUACUGAGACACGGACCAGACUCCUACGGGAGGCAGCAGUGAGGAAUAUUGGACAAUGGAGGCAACUCUGAUCCAGCCAUGCCGCGUGCAGGAAGACUGCCCUAUGGGUUGUAAACUGCUUUUAUACAGGAAGAAACCUUGGUACGUGUACCAAGCUGACGGUACUGUAAGAAUAAGGAUCGGCUAACUCCGUGCCAGCAGCCGCGGUAAUACGGAGGAUCCAAGCGUUAUCCGGAAUCAUUGGGUUUAAAGGGUCCGUAGGUGGAUAAUUAAGUCAGAGGUGAAAUCUUGCAGCUCAACUGUAAAAUUGCCUUUGAUACUGGUUAUCUUGAGUUAUUAUGAAGUAGUUAGAAUAUGUAGUGUAGCGGUGAAAUGCAUAGAUAUUACAUAGAAUACCAAUUGCGAAGGCAGAUUACUAAUAAUGUACUGACACUGAUGGACGAAAGCGUGGGUAGCGAACAGGAUUAGAUACCCUGGUAGUCCACGCCGUAAACGAUGGUUACUAGCUGUGUGGACUUCGGUCUGCGUGGCUAAGCGAAAGUGAUAAGUAACCCACCUGGGGAGUACGUUCGCAAGAAUGAAACUCAAAGGAAUUGACGGGGGCCCGCACAAGCGGUGGAGCAUGUGGUUUAAUUCGAUGAUACGCGAGGAACCUUACCAGGGCUUAAAUGUAAGUUGCAUUAGCUGGAGAUAGCUAUUUCUUCGGACCACUUACAAGGUGCUGCAUGGUUGUCGUCAGCUCGUGCCGUGAGGUGUCAGGUUAAGUCCUAUAACGAGCGCAACCCCUGUUGUUAGUUGCCAGCGAGUCAUGUCGGGAACUCUAACAAGCCUGCCGGUGCAAACCGUGAGGAAGGUGGGGAUGACGUCAAAUCAUCACGGCCCUUACGUCCUGGGCUACACACGUGCUACAAUGGUCGGUACAGAGAGCAGCCACUGCGCGAGCAGGAGCGAAUCUAUAAAACCGAUCACAGUUCGGAUCGGAGUCUGCAACUCGACUCCGUGAAGCUGGAAUCGCUAGUAAUCGGAUAUCAGCCAUGAUCCGGUGAAUACGUUCCCGGGCCUUGUACUCACCGCCCGUC